AACGAACGCUGGCGGCAGGCCUAACACAUGCAAGUCGAGCGCCCUUUCGGGGGAGCGGCGGACGGGUGAGUAACGCGUGGGAAUAUGCCCUUCUCUACGGAAUAGCCUCGGGAAACUGAGAGUAAUACCGUAUACGCCCUGUGGGGGAAAGAUUUAUCGGAGAAGGAUUAGCCCGCGUUGGAUUAGGUAGUUGGUGGGGUAAUGGCCUACCAAGCCGACGAUCCAUAGCUGGUUUGAGAGGAUGAUCAGCCACACUGGGACUGAGACACGGCCCAGACUCCUACGGGAGGCAGCAGUGGGGAAUCUUAGACAAUGGGGGCAACCCUGAUCUAGCCAUGCCGCGUGAGUGAUGAAGGCCUUAGGGUUGUAAAGCUCUUUCAGCUGGGAAGAUAAUGACGGUACCAGCAGAAGAAGCCCCGGCUAACUCCGUG
RNAcentral lists this ribosomal RNA (431 nucleotides) under uncultured bacterium. RNAcentral's name for it is "partial 16S ribosomal RNA". It matches the Rfam family "Bacterial small subunit ribosomal RNA", at positions 29 to 507 of the family's 1533-position model. The record is from RNAcentral.